UACGGAAGGCAGCAGUGGGGAAUAUUGCACAAUGGGCGCAAGCCUGAUGCAGCCAUGCCGCGUGUAUGAAGAAGGCCUUCGGGUUGUAAAGUACUUUCAGCGGGGAGGAAGGCGAUGCGGUUAAUAACCGCGUCGAUUGACGUUACCCGCAGAAGAAGCACCGGCUAACUCCGUGCCAGCAGCCGCGGUAAUACGGAGGGUGCAAGCGUUAAUCGGAAUUACUGGGCGUAAAGCGCACGCAGGCGGUCUGUUAAGUCAGAUGUGAAAUCCCCGGGCUUAACCUGGGAACUGCAUUUUGAAACUGGCAGGCUUGAGUCUUGUAGAGGGGGUAGAAUUCCAGGUGUAGCGGUGAAAUGCGUAGAGAUCUGGAGGAAUCCGGUGGCGAAGGCGGCCCCUGGGACAAAGCUGACGCUCAGGUGCGAAAGCGUGGGGAGCAAACAGGAUUAGGAUACC
This 453-nucleotide ribosomal RNA is filed under the name uncultured bacterium. Its description in RNAcentral is "bacterial SSU rRNA". It matches the Rfam family "Bacterial small subunit ribosomal RNA", at positions 340 to 786 of the family's 1533-position model. The record is from RNAcentral.